UGAUCGACAGCGGACGGGGUGGAGCCGAUAGAGUCUUCAGAUAGCUGCCAUGUCAGCUCUGGUCCUGUUAAUGACAACGAUGAUGGUCAUGAAGAGCAAAGCUGCCUUCACAAAGAUCAUCACAGUAUCUUCACACAGCGAUGGGUCCGUCCUGCUGCCCGCAGAGGGGGGAGGGAGACUAGAGCAUGGGUGGGACGUCAGGUGGACUCAUCCCCACCUGGUCUUAUCUCUGAAGAAUAACAUGACGACGUGUCACCACGGACGCUGUGAGCUGCUGAGUGAUGGCUCACUGAGAUUCAACAGAGUUCAGAUCAAGGACUCAGGAACAUACCGCCUGGAGGUGUUCUAUGAAAAUGGGACGCAGCAGAUGAGGAAAGACUUCCUACUCCAUGUGGAGGCUGCAGGUGACAGCAGCAGCACUGUGGCUGUGUCUAUCUCCUGCCUUCUCCUGUUUCUGCUGCUGCUUUCCUUCAUCAUCUUCAUCCUGAGGAGGAGAGGGAUCAGGCACACAGAUACCUCAGGUCAAACAGAGGAAAAUGUGUAUGUUAAGAUGCUCAGUCAUUGCGGCAAAGAGGGUGAGGAUGACGUUGAGAAGAAGCAAGAGAAAGAGGAGGAUCCUGUUUAUGUUUCCUGUAAUCCUGCUCUCUCAAUGGAAACACCAAUCACACAGCAGACAGUGGAGGAUGACGUCUACGUGUGA
This 700-nucleotide long non-coding RNA is filed under the name Betta splendens (Siamese fighting fish). RNAcentral's name for it is "lncRNA (ENSBSLG00000020354.1)". The record is from RNAcentral. Lineage: Eukaryota; Metazoa; Chordata; Actinopteri; Anabantiformes; Osphronemidae.